UAGCAAUACAUGGGGUGGCGAGUGGCGCACGGGUGCGUAACACGUAUGUAAUUUACCCAUAACUGGGGGAUAGCCUUCCGAAAGGAAGAUUAAUACCCCAUAAUAUAAUGAAAAGGCAUCUUUUUAUUAUUAAAACUCCGGUGGUUAUGGAUGAGCAUGCGUCUGAUUAGCUAGUUGGCGAGGUAACGGCUCACCAAGGCAACGAUCAGUAGGGGGUCUGAGAGGAUGAUCCCCCACACGGGUACUGAGACACGGACCCGACUCCUACGGGAGGCAGCAGUAAGGAAUAUUGGACAAUGGAGGCAACUCUGAUCCAGCCAUGCCGCGUGAAGGAUGAAGGCGCUACGCGUUGUAAACUUCUUUUCUACUAGAAAAAACAUUUGGUUUCGUACCGAAUCUGAUUGUACAGUAGGAAUAAGCAUCGGCUAACUUCGUGCCAGCAGCCGCGGUAAUACGAAGGAUGCAAGCGUUAUCCGGAUUUACUGGGUUUAAAGGGUGUGUAGGUGGGGUAAUAAGCCAGUGGUGAAAGCCCCCGACUCAAUCGGGGAACUGCCAUAGAUACUGUUAUUCUUGAGUGUAGUUGAGGCAGGUGGAAUAUGACAUGUAGCGGUGAAAUGCUUAGAUAUGUCAUAGAACACCAAUCGCGAAGGCAGCCUGCCAAGCUAUUACUGACACUGAAACACGAAAGUGCGGGGAUCAAACAGGAUUAGAUACCCUGGUAGUCCGCACUGUAAACGAUGAUCACUCGUUGUUGGCGAUAUACUGUCGGCGACUAAGCGAAAGCAUUAAGUGAU
This 794-nucleotide ribosomal RNA is filed under the name uncultured Bacteroidota bacterium. Its description in RNAcentral is "bacterial SSU rRNA". It matches the Rfam family "Bacterial small subunit ribosomal RNA", at positions 77 to 868 of the family's 1533-position model. Lineage: Bacteria; Pseudomonadati; Bacteroidota. The record is from RNAcentral.